This 306-nucleotide signal recognition particle RNA is filed under the name Aotus nancymaae (Ma's night monkey). RNAcentral describes it as "Metazoan signal recognition particle RNA (ENSANAG00000000536.1)". It matches the Rfam family "Metazoan signal recognition particle RNA". From Rfam's summary of the family: The signal recognition particle (SRP) is a universally conserved ribonucleoprotein. Lineage: Eukaryota; Metazoa; Chordata; Mammalia; Primates; Aotidae. The record is from RNAcentral.
GCCGGCGGGUUGAGCGCGCUGCCCUAUAUCCCGGCUACUUGGGAGGCUGAGGUGGGAGGAUUGCUUAAGCCCAAGAGUUCUGGGCUGUAGUGCCCUCUGCCGAUUGGGUGUCUGCACUAAGUUCAGCAUCAAUAUGGUGACCUCCCAGGAGCAGGGGACCACCAGGUUGCCUAAGGAGGGGUGAACCAGCCCAGGUCGGAAACGGAGCAGGUGAAAAGCUAUUCACAGGGGCUGAUCAGUAGUGGGAUCGCACCUGUGAAUAGCCACUGCACUCCAGCCUGGGCAACAUAGCGAGACCCUGUCUCU